GCCGGGCGUGUUGGUGGGCGCCUGUAGUCCCAGCUGCUCGGGAGGCUGAGGCAGGAGGCUGGCGUGAACCUGGGAGGCGGAGGUUGCAGUGAGCCAAGAUUGUGGCACUGCACUCCAGCCUGGGCAGCAGAGCGAGACUCUGUCUCAAAAAUAAAAGAAAGAAAUACUCUUUUUUUAUUUUUGAAACAGGGUCUCGCUCUGUUGCUCAGAGUGGAGUGCAGUGGCAUGAUCUUGGCUCACUGCAACCUCCGCCUCCCAGAUUCAAGCGAUUCUCAUGCCUCAG
RNAcentral lists this small RNA (283 nucleotides) under Macaca mulatta (Rhesus monkey). RNAcentral's name for it is "Metazoan signal recognition particle RNA (ENSMMUG00000058023.1)". The record is from RNAcentral. Lineage: Eukaryota; Metazoa; Chordata; Mammalia; Primates; Cercopithecidae.